RNAcentral lists this ribosomal RNA (808 nucleotides) under uncultured Planctomycetota bacterium. RNAcentral's name for it is "bacterial SSU rRNA". It matches the Rfam family "Bacterial small subunit ribosomal RNA", at positions 46 to 832 of the family's 1533-position model. The record is from RNAcentral. Lineage: Bacteria; Pseudomonadati; Planctomycetota.
GGAUUAGGCAUGCAAGUCGCACGAGAAAGGUUUCUUCGGAAGCCGGGUACAGUGGCGAACGGGUGAGUAAUGCAUAGACAACUCGCCCUUGAGAUGGGGACAACGCCUCGAAAGGGGUGCUAAUACCCAAUGCCGCCUUGGGCCCGCGGGUCCAGGGUGAAAGGAGGCCUCUGAUUCAAGCUUCCGCUCAAGGAGAGGUUUAUGUCCUAUUAGCUAGUUGGCGGGGUAACGGCCCACCAAGGCUGCGAUGGGUAGCCGACCUGAGAGGGUGACCGGCCACAUUGGGACUGAGACACUGCCCAGACUCCUACGGGAGGCUGCAGUCGAGAAUCUUCCGCAAUGCGCGCAAGCGUGACGGAGCGACGCCGCGUGGGUGAUGAAGGCCUUCGGGUUGUAAAACCCUGUCAGCUACUACGAAACACGGGCGAUGAACAAUCGUCCCGUCUGACUUAAGUAGCAGAGGAAGCACCGGCUAACUACGUGCCAGCAGCCGCGGUAAUACGUAGGGUGCAAACGUUGUUCGGAAUCACUGGGCAUAAAGGGCGCGUAGGCGGUCUGAUAAGUCAGGUGUGAAAUCCCUCGGCCUAACCGAGGAACUGCAUUUGAUACUGUCGGGCUAGAGUACAGGAGGGGAGAGUGGAAUUCCUGGUGGAGCGGUGAAAUGCGUAGAUAUCAGGAGGAACGCCGGCGGCGAAAGCGACUCUCUGGCCUGUUACUGACGCUGAGGCGCGAAAGCUAGGGGAGCAAACGGGAUUAGAUACCCCGGUAGUCCUAGCCCUAAACGAUGGGCACUAAGUAGAGGGGUUUU